Molecule: long non-coding RNA, 860 nt
Filed under: Trifolium pratense (red clover)
Lineage: Eukaryota; Viridiplantae; Streptophyta; Magnoliopsida; Fabales; Fabaceae
Description: long non-coding RNA (TPRA_LNC004093)
Source: RNAcentral
CACAAAGGGAUAGAUGUUGUUGAUUCUUGUCCCCUCUAUGUUCCCUUGAUGAGAAUGAGACUUGCUACAUUUUGCUUUAUGGUGUGACUUCACCUUGUUGGCCAAUUUUCGUCCAAGCCAUCAUUGUGUGAUGUGGCUUUUAUUUGAAUUUCAAAUCUUCUUCAAUCAAUGAUGGAAGCUUCCUUUGUUUGUCCAAAUGGGCUUUUAAUUACUUUUGUCCAAAAAGGCUUUAUGGCCCAUGAUUCAAUUUAUGUCAUGUUUGACAUAUUCCUUACAUAAGUGUUUCCGUAAAAAGCUACCACUCUUGGUGAGACAAAAAAGAAUAUCUUCAUGUGAAGUUUUUAUAACAUUUUGGCCAAGACUUUAAGUUGCUUCUUUUGUUUCUACUCAUUGCUUAUAUGUUUUGCUUGUCCAUUAGUUCCUCAUACAUAACGUUAUCGUUGACAGAUGAUAUCAUUAUCGUUGAAACAUUUCUCACAAAACACAUUAGUAGAUAACAAGAUAAUCAUAAUUAAAAUUAACUAACAUGUUUGUUAUCUUUAAAACAUCAAAUAAGGAUUUUGUCCUCAACACUAAUAUAUUUUACUCGUUAUACAUGUAGUAUUUUAUUUUUGUCUUUUCAGCCAACACAAAUAAUGGAACAAAGUCAAACNNNNNNNNNNNNNNNNNNNNNNNNNNNNNNNNNNNNNNNNNAUAUAUAACUGUUUUUAUCAAGGGGAGACAUAAAUAUAUAUGUUGUGCACUCUUUUUCCCUUCACCAUGGUUUUGUCCUACUCUUUUUCUUUUGCUUGGAUAUUUUUUCCAAUGGUUUUUUCUCUAGUAAUGUUUUAAUGAGGCAUAUCCUUAAUGGACAUUCAAUU